GAAUUCGCCCUUAGAGUUUGAUUCUGGCUCAGGACGAACGCUGGCGGCGCGCCUAACACAUGCAAGUCGAACGAGCGAGAGAGAGCUUGCUUUCUCAAGCGAGUGGCGAACGGGUGAGUAACGCGUGAGGAACCUGCCUCAAAGAGGGGGACAACAGUUGGAAACGACUGCUAAUACCGCAUAAGCCCACGACCCGGCAUCGGGUAGAGGGAAAAGGAGCAAUCCGCUUUGAGAUGGCCUCGCGUCCGAUUAGCUAGUUGGUGAGGUAACGGCCCACCAAGGCGACGAUCGGUAGCCGGACUGAGAGGUUGAACGGCCACAUUGGGACUGAGACACGGCCCAGACUCCUACGGGAGGCAGCAGUGGGGAAUAUUGCACAAUGGGGGAAACCCUGAUGUAGCGACGCCGCGUGGAGGAAGAAGGUCUUCGGAUUGUAAACUCCUGUUGUUGAGGAAGAUAAUGACGGUACUCAACAAGGAAGUGACGGCUAACUACGUGCCAGCAGCCGCGGUAAAACGUAGGUCACAAGCGUUGUCCGGAAUUACUGGGUGUAAAGGGAGCGCAGGCGGGAAGACAAGUUGGAAGUGAAAUCCAUGGGCUCAACCCAUGAACUGCUUUCAAAACUGUUUUUCUUGAGUAGUGCAGAGGUAGGCGGAAUUCCCGGUGUAGCGGUGGAAUGCGUAGAUAUCGGGAGGAACACCAGCGGCGAAGGCGACCUACUGGGCACCAACUGACGCUGAGGCUCGAAAGCAUGGGUAGCAAACAGGAUUAGAUACCCUGGUAGUCCAUGCCGUAAACGAUGAUUACUAGGUGUUGGAGGAUUGACCCCUUCAGUGCCGCAGUUAACACAAUAAGUAAUCCACCUGGGGAGUACGACCGCAAGGUUGAAACUCAAAGGAAUUGACGGGGGCCCGCACAAGCAGUGGAGUAUGUGGUUUAAUUCGAAGCAACGCGAAGAACCUUACCAGGUCUUGACAUCCGAUGCAUAGUGCAGAGAUGCAUGAAGUCCUUCGGGACAUCGAGACAGGUGGUGCAUGGUUGUCGUCAGCUCGUGUCGUGAGAUGUUGGGUUAAGUCCCGCAACGAGCGCAACCCUUAUUGCCAGUUACUACGAAAGAGGACUCUGGCGAGACUGCCGUUGACAAAACGGAGGAAGGUGGGGAUGACGUCAAAUCAUCAUGCCCUUUAUGACCUGGGCUACACACGUACUACAAUGGCGUUUAACAAAGAGAAGCAAGACCGCGAGGUGGAGCAAAACUCAAAAACAACGUCUCAGUUCAGAUUGCAGGCUGCAACUCGCCUGCAUGAAGUCGGAAUUGCUAGUAAUCGCGGAUCAGCAUGCCGCGGUGAAUACGUUCCCGGGCCUUGCACACACCGCCCGUCA
This 1383-nucleotide ribosomal RNA is filed under the name uncultured bacterium. RNAcentral's name for it is "bacterial SSU rRNA". It matches the Rfam family "Bacterial small subunit ribosomal RNA". The record is from RNAcentral.